AUUGAACGCUGGCGGCAGGCCUAACACAUGCAAGUCGAGCGGUUGACGGGAGCUUGCUCCCUGAUUCAGCGGCGGACGGGUGAGUAAUGCCUAGGAAUCUGCCUAUUAGUGGGGGACAACGUUUCGAAAGGAACGCUAAUACCGCAUACGUCCUACGGGAGAAAGCAGGGGACCUUCGGGCCUUGCGCUAAUAGAUGAGCCUAGGUCGGAUUAGCUCGUUGGUGGGGUAAUGGCUCACCAAGGCGACGAUCCGUAACUGGUCUGAGAGGAUGAUCAGUCACACUGGAACUGAGACACGGUCCAGACUCCUACGGGAGGCAGAAGUGGGGAAUAUUGGACAAUGGGCGAAAGCCUGAUCCAGCCAUGCCGCGUGUGUGAAGAAGGUCUUCGGAUUGUAAAGCACUUUAAGUUGGGAGGAAGGGUUGUAGAUUAAUACUCUGCAAUUUUGACGUUACCGACAGAAUAAGCACCGGCUAACUCUGUGCCAGCAGCCGCCGUAA
This 500-nucleotide ribosomal RNA is filed under the name uncultured bacterium. RNAcentral describes it as "partial 16S ribosomal RNA". It matches the Rfam family "Bacterial small subunit ribosomal RNA", at positions 30 to 523 of the family's 1533-position model. The record is from RNAcentral.